RNAcentral lists this ribosomal RNA (274 nucleotides) under uncultured bacterium. RNAcentral describes it as "partial 16S ribosomal RNA". It matches the Rfam family "Bacterial small subunit ribosomal RNA", at positions 523 to 796 of the family's 1533-position model. The record is from RNAcentral.
AUACGGAGGGGGCUAGCGUUGUUCGGAUUUACUGGGCGUAAAGCGCGCGUAGGCGGUAUAUCAAGUUAGGCGUGAAAGCCCCGGGCUCAACCCGGGAACUGCGCUUAUUACUGAUAAACUAGAGUCCGGGAGAGGGUGGCGGAAUUCCCAGUGUAGAGGUGAAAUUCGUAGAUAUUGGGAAGAACACCAGUGGCGAAGGCGGCCACCUGGCCCGGUACUGACGCUGAGGUGCGAAAGCGUGGGGAGCAAACAGAAGUAGAAACCCCUGUAGUCC